This 46-nucleotide non-coding RNA is filed under the name Trichobilharzia regenti. Lineage: Eukaryota; Metazoa; Platyhelminthes; Trematoda; Strigeidida; Schistosomatidae. The record is from RNAcentral.
GUAUUGCUGAAGAGUCCCAAACUAGGACGAAAUAGCUGUCCAGUAC